AAGAAUUUAAGUUAAUAAAACUAAUAACCUUCAAAGUUAUCAAUAAAGUUUCUUUAAUUCUUA
RNAcentral lists this transfer RNA (63 nucleotides) under Rhyzodiastes puetzi. RNAcentral describes it as "tRNA-Trp". The record is from RNAcentral. Lineage: Eukaryota; Metazoa; Arthropoda; Insecta; Coleoptera; Carabidae.